AACGAACGCUGGCGGCAUGCCUAACACAUGCAAGUCGAACGAGACCUUCGGGUCUAGUGGCGCACGGGUGCGUAACGCGUGGGAACUUGCCCUUAGGUUCGGAAUAACUCCCCGAAAGGGGUGCUAAUACCGGAUAAUGUCUUCGGACCAAAGAUUUAUCGCCUUUGGAUGGGCCCGCGUUGGAUUAGCUAGUUGGUAGGGUAAAAGCCUACCAAGGCGACGAUCCAUAGCUGGUCUGAGAGGAUGAUCAGCCACACUGGGACUGAGACACGGCCCAGACUCCUACGGGAGGCAGCAGUGGGGAAUAUUGGACAAUGGGCGAAAGCCUGAUCCAGCAAUGCCGCGUGAGUGAUGAAGGCCUUAGGGUUGUAAAGCUCUUUUACCCGGGAUGAUAAUGACGGUACCGGGAGAAUAAGCGCCGGCUAACUCCGUG
Molecule: ribosomal RNA, 433 nt
Filed under: uncultured bacterium
Lineage: Bacteria
Description: partial 16S ribosomal RNA
Rfam family: Bacterial small subunit ribosomal RNA
Source: RNAcentral